UGGGCGCAAAAAUGUCUGGGC
RNAcentral lists this non-coding RNA (21 nucleotides) under Arabidopsis thaliana (thale cress). Lineage: Eukaryota; Viridiplantae; Streptophyta; Magnoliopsida; Brassicales; Brassicaceae. The record is from RNAcentral.